Molecule: ribosomal RNA, 2230 nt
Filed under: Parcubacteria group bacterium GW2011_GWA2_47_16
Lineage: Bacteria
Description: bacterial SSU rRNA
Rfam family: Bacterial small subunit ribosomal RNA (bases 323-2230)
Source: RNAcentral
UAAGAGUUUGAUCCUAGCUCAGGAUGAACGCUGGCGGCGUGGAUAAGGCAUGCAAGUCAAACGGGUGCAUCUCACAAAGCUGAGAUGCAGAAUUAAGAAUAUAGAAUUAUGAGUUAUGAAUAAGAAGCGAUUCUUCAUUCAUACUUCCUAAUUCAUACUUCAUUAUUCUGCACCGAGGUUUUGCGAGGUGCAUCAGUGGCAGACGAGGUAGUAAUAAGUAGGUACGAACCUGGAAGUCAGGAAUAGCCGCGCGAAAGCGCGGGUAAUACUUGAUAGUCUGGUCAUUCCUCAUUGGGCUCGGAAUGACCCGCAGAAUAACGCAGAACGAAUGCGGAAGGUCGCUGAAGAAAUGCUCUUGUAUUUUUUCGGCGAUUGUCCGCGUUAAGUCCGCGAUUGUCUGCGGGUCGCGACGAGCGUAGCGAGGAGUGACCAGUAAAGAUUUAUCGCUUCCAGAUCGGCCUGCUCGGUAUCAGCUAGUUGGUAGUGUAAAAGACUACCAAGGCUAUGACGCCUAGGGGAGGUGAGAGCCUGACCCCCACCGAUGGAACUGAGACACGGUCCAUACACCUACGGGUGGCUGCAGCCGAGAAUAUUCGACAAUGGGCGAAAGCCUGAUCGAGCGACGCCGCGUGGAAGAUGAAGUCCUUCGGGAUGUAAAUUCCUUUUGUAGUCCAGAAAGUUUAUUGAUCGGACUAAGAAUAAGAGGUUGCUAAACUCGUGCCAGCAGCAGCGGUAAUACGAGUGCCUCGAGCGUUAUCCGGAAUUAUUGGGCGUAAAGGGUGUGUAGGAGGUCGUGUUAGUCUUCUGUUAAAUUCUUCGGCUUAACCGGGGGCAUGCAGGGGAAACGGCACGACUUGAGGAUGCGAGAGGUGAAUGGAACUCAUAGUGUAGGGGUGAAAUCCGUUGAUAUUAUGGGGAACACCAAAAGCGAAGGCAAUUCACUGGCGCACUCCUGACUCUGAAACACGAAAGCGUGGGUAGCGAAUGGGAUUAGAUAAACGCGUUUGUAAGGCAAGCGCUAAAUGCAAAAUGUAGAUCUCAAAAUGAAAAAUUGUCGUGUCGCCGGAGGCGACUCAAUAAUUUUAAUCUUUGAUUUUUAAAUUUUAAUUUUAAGCGGGCGGAGCGAACGCACAUGUCUCUUUCUGUGGUAACACAGAUUGUAAUUUGGCUAUAUGUUCCCGAUUUGUCUGCGAGCGUAGCGAGUAGCUACAAAUCGCAAUCCCUCCGGCCUUUUGGUUGGUGGAGAAAAACAAAAUCGGGAAACCGCCGGUCACGUCAUCACGACGAAAGUCUUGAUGGUGGAAGGCCGGUGGGGCUGGAAACUCCGUUGUAUCAUUAAGUACGAGCGAAAGCCGUCAAAAUCUUAAUGUGCGGACAAUCAGCAGGGAAGACUUGUAAACUUUGUUGAAGAUAUUUUGGUGGUUCUGACCCGUGGCGAUUCGAACAUGAGACUUCUGCACUCAAGCAGUGCUGAACAAACGUGUCGGAUAAACAUGGAAGCAAGGCAUGCCCAAAAGGCAAGCCAAAAGCAGGUGAGAUGGAGGUAUUCGAUAAAAUCACGAUCGAACCAUCUUACUAAUCGGAACUCUAUAGGCUCAUCGUGAUUGCCUGGAGGGUUGGAGAAGCCUUGUUCUCCCACCACAUCUUAUUAAAUUCUUCGGACAACCUCGGUUGUCCCUUCAACAAAGUUUACAAGAACCCUCAGAGACUAAACGCCAAACCCCUAAACCGGAUUCUCCGGUUGGGUGAAGAUAUAGUCCGACCUCUAUGGCGACAUAGAGAGCGAAACAGAAAUGUUUUCGCCGGUAGUAAUUGAGAAUUGAAGAUUUCGGGUAUUGAUUGAAAAUUGAUACUUGAAAAUUGAAAAUUCUUUUGUUACUCCGUAACAAAAGUGACCCCAGUAGUCCACGCCCUAAACGAUGUUCAUUAGCUAUUCGGAGUAUCGACCCUCUGAGUGGCGUAGCUAACGCGUUAAAUGAACCGCCUGGGUAGUACGGCCGCAAGGCUAAAACUCAAAGGAAUAGACGGGGACUUGCACAAGCGGUGGUCCAUGUGGUUUAAUUCGAUGGUAAACGAAGAACCUUACCAGGGUUAGAAAUCUAGUCGAAGGCAAGCAGAAACGUUUGUCGUCUCACAAGGACGGCUAGACAGGUGCUGCAUGGCCGUCGUCAGUUCGUGGUUUGAAUUGUUCCCUUAAGUGGGGUAACGAACGCAACCCUCGUUGCCUGUU